CUUAAGCUUUGCUCAUUGUUUUUGUUUCCCAUACGUUUGUGGUUAUUAAAACCACUUAAACUGAAAAUGGAUCAAGGCUGAGUGUUGGCUCUUAUAAACAUAAUGAGUAUAUAUCCCAGAUUUUCUGGGACAGCCCAGAUUUCAAAUGACUGUAUCCUGGUCUGAGGAUGGGAGAAUGUGGUCCACAGAUGUUGCCCGUGGUCAGGGUCUGCUGGUCAAGGUGUUCAGGGACUGGUACAGCUCAUUCAGAUACCACCUGAGACAGCAACAGAACAAAAGUACACAAGAACAAAAAUAAUGUUUGAGACAAACUGGCAAACCUUGAAGAAGUGUGCAAAGGUGGCAGGACAGCGUGAGGCCAGGAUUUGUCUGGGCAAAACAACUUAAUAGAUUUGGAACCAUCUUGGAAGAGGAAGUUGGUUUUCUUGAGUCAGCAGCUUAGUCACCUUCUGGUAUCAGUGGCAAAUAUUUUUAGCCCUCAGGGCCUGGCCAGGGUCUUCUGAGGUGGUUCUACUUCCUAGGAAGGGGGUAGAUUCUAGAAGAGUGGGCCUAUGGGGUUUAUUUGUGGAAAAGUCUUCAUUCCUUCUUCACAUGAACCCACAAGAAGACCUACUCUGUGCCCAGCAGCCUCCAAGAAGUGGGGCAGGAUGUAGAAAUGGCCAAAACCAAAAUCUUUGCCUUUGAAGAAUUUUCAAUCCAGUGUGGGAGAUAGACAUAUAAAGUAGUAAGUUAGAACUCCAUCUUAUAAAGGAUUCCUAUUGAGAGAGAACCAAGUAUGGAGGGGCACACAGAGGAGACAGCCACCAUCCAGGGGAGCUGGAGGUGACUCAGGCAGGACCUUGUGUGGUGGGUCUCACACGAAUCUUUUCUAGGUCCUCUGCUCCCUCAGUGGAUGAAUAAGACUGUCUCCUUCUGGGUUUGUGUAAGCUCUUCUGAGAAGCCUCCUUCUACUUCUUUCCCUAUUUUCUGCCCUUUAGGACCUGUCAGAGGCUAGGUGAGAAACAGAGAGUACAUUCAGCUGGGAUUUUUGAAAGACUUUUUAACGAAGUGGCUAUUUACAGAGGUGUGGGUAGCUUCCCAUAAGUAAUAAGGGAUGUUGGUGCCCACAGCAACUACCAGCAAGGGAAGCUGCUCUCACACUUGACCUGCAGAGGCAGAGGAAGAAAUGCUAUGACUGGUGCCCAGGUGAAAGCUGGAGCCCUGGACGAGGGGCUGCUUGAGAGGAGCUGUGGCUGUAGAAGGAUGGGACAGCUGCCAGAAGGACUGCCCAGCAGGGCGUCACACCAGCCAUUGAGGAAUCAGGAAUCAACAAGCCAGACCUGGUCCUCAACUUUAUGGAGCUUACAGUCUAGGAUGGAAACAAAUAUGGAGCAUGCGAAUAAAGGGAGACAUUCUUGGGAUGAGUGAGCUCAGGGAGCCAACCCUGGGGUUUGGUUUUUCUUCUCCAAAGUCAGGCCACACAGCUCCUUACUCCUAGAACUACAGUGUCUAAAGAUACCCCAUGAAAACUCUUACUCAGAGCCGACCCUAGAAACCCCAGGUGAUGGACUCAGAGUUCAAAGGGAAAAUGUUUCACAGCCCCAAGUCACUAUCCCCCCAUGCCCUGUUAUUCUUCAGUAUUUCUAUCCCUUUUGCUUAAACCUGUGCACUCUUCCUUAAUAUAUGACAGAAGAGAAAGUCAUAAGAAUAACUUUUAACCUUGGGAUGGAGGAAAACAAUCUGAGAAAGACAGGGUACCCAGAAGUCAUACAGAAAAUACAGAUAUAUUCAAUCAUAUAUUUAAAUAUUGUGAGGCAAAAAUCACAAGGUCAAUGGAGAAAUAAUAGACUAGGAAAAAAGUAGUUGAAACAUGACAAAGUUUAUAUCCUUAACAGACAAUUCGAAAGGCAAAG
Molecule: long non-coding RNA, 1892 nt
Filed under: Equus caballus (horse)
Lineage: Eukaryota; Metazoa; Chordata; Mammalia; Perissodactyla; Equidae
Description: lncRNA (ENSECAG00000052773.1)
Source: RNAcentral